UGAGGAAUAUUGGUCAAUGGGCUUACGCCUGAACCAGCCAAGUCGCGUGAGGGAAGACUGCCCUAUGGUUGUAACCUCUUUUGUCAGGGAGCAACAACAUCUACGAGUAGGUGUUACGAGAGUACCUGAAGAAAAA
This 136-nucleotide ribosomal RNA is filed under the name uncultured bacterium. Its description in RNAcentral is "partial 16S ribosomal RNA". It matches the Rfam family "Bacterial small subunit ribosomal RNA", at positions 355 to 489 of the family's 1533-position model. The record is from RNAcentral.